RNAcentral lists this ribosomal RNA (429 nucleotides) under Chloroflexota bacterium. Its description in RNAcentral is "Chloroflexi bacterium partial 16S ribosomal RNA". It matches the Rfam family "Bacterial small subunit ribosomal RNA", at positions 355 to 776 of the family's 1533-position model. The record is from RNAcentral. Lineage: Bacteria; Bacillati; Chloroflexota.
UGGGGAAUAUUGCACAAUGGGCGCAAGCCUGAUGCAGCCAUGCCGCGUGUAUGAAGAAGGCCUUCGGGUUGUAAAGUACUUUCAGUCGGGAGGAAGGUGGUAAGGUUAAUAACCUUGGCAAUUGACGUUACCGACAGAAGAAGCACCGGCUAACUCCGUGCCAGCAGCCGCGGUAAUACGGAGGGUGCAAGCGUUAAUCGGAAUUACUGGGCGUAAAGCGCACGCAGGCGGUUGAUUGAGUCAGAUGUGAAAUCCCCGGGCUUAACCCGGGAAUUGCAUCUGAUACUGGGCAGCUAGAGGCUUGUAGAGGGGGGUAGAAUUCCAUGUGUAGCGGUGAAAUGCGUAGAGAUGUGGAGGAAUACCGGUGGCGAAGGCGGCCCCCUGGACAAAGACUGACGCUCAGGUGCGAAAGCGUGGGGAGCAAACAGG